This 2904-nucleotide ribosomal RNA is filed under the name Escherichia coli. RNAcentral's name for it is "23S ribosomal RNA". It matches the Rfam family "Bacterial large subunit ribosomal RNA". Lineage: Bacteria; Pseudomonadati; Pseudomonadota; Gammaproteobacteria; Enterobacterales; Enterobacteriaceae. The record is from RNAcentral.
GGUUAAGCGACUAAGCGUACACGGUGGAUGCCCUGGCAGUCAGAGGCGAUGAAGGACGUGCUAAUCUGCGAUAAGCGUCGGUAAGGUGAUAUGAACCGUUAUAACCGGCGAUUUCCGAAUGGGGAAACCCAGUGUGUUUCGACACACUAUCAUUAACUGAAUCCAUAGGUUAAUGAGGCGAACCGGGGGAACUGAAACAUCUAAGUACCCCGAGGAAAAGAAAUCAACCGAGAUUCCCCCAGUAGCGGCGAGCGAACGGGGAGCAGCCCAGAGCCUGAAUCAGUGUGUGUGUUAGUGGAAGCGUCUGGAAAGGCGCGCGAUACAGGGUGACAGCCCCGUACACAAAAAUGCACAUGCUGUGAGCUCGAUGAGUAGGGCGGGACACGUGGUAUCCUGUCUGAAUAUGGGGGGACCAUCCUCCAAGGCUAAAUACUCCUGACUGACCGAUAGUGAACCAGUACCGUGAGGGAAAGGCGAAAAGAACCCCGGCGAGGGGAGUGAAAAAGAACCUGAAACCGUGUACGUACAAGCAGUGGGAGCACGCUUAGGCGUGUGACUGCGUACCUUUUGUAUAAUGGGUCAGCGACUUAUAUUCUGUAGCAAGGUUAACCGAAUAGGGGAGCCGAAGGGAAACCGAGUCUUAACUGGGCGUUAAGUUGCAGGGUAUAGACCCGAAACCCGGUGAUCUAGCCAUGGGCAGGUUGAAGGUUGGGUAACACUAACUGGAGGACCGAACCGACUAAUGUUGAAAAAUUAGCGGAUGACUUGUGGCUGGGGGUGAAAGGCCAAUCAAACCGGGAGAUAGCUGGUUCUCCCCGAAAGCUAUUUAGGUAGCGCCUCGUGAAUUCAUCUCCGGGGGUAGAGCACUGUUUCGGCAAGGGGGUCAUCCCGACUUACCAACCCGAUGCAAACUGCGAAUACCGGAGAAUGUUAUCACGGGAGACACACGGCGGGUGCUAACGUCCGUCGUGAAGAGGGAAACAACCCAGACCGCCAGCUAAGGUCCCAAAGUCAUGGUUAAGUGGGAAACGAUGUGGGAAGGCCCAGACAGCCAGGAUGUUGGCUUAGAAGCAGCCAUCAUUUAAAGAAAGCGUAAUAGCUCACUGGUCGAGUCGGCCUGCGCGGAAGAUGUAACGGGGCUAAACCAUGCACCGAAGCUGCGGCAGCGACGCUGAUGCGUUGUUGGGUAGGGGAGCGUUCUGUAAGCCUGCGAAGGUGUGCUGUGAGGCAUGCUGGAGGUAUCAGAAGUGCGAAUGCUGACAUAAGUAACGAUAAAGCGGGUGAAAAGCCCGCUCGCCGGAAGACCAAGGGUUCCUGUCCAACGUUAAUCGGGGCAGGGUGAGUCGACCCCUAAGGCGAGGCCGAAAGGCGUAGUCGAUGGGAAACAGGUUAAUAUUCCUGUACUUGGUGUUACUGCGAAGGGGGGACGGAGAAGGCUAUGUUGGCCGGGCGACGGUUGUCCCGGUUUAAGCGUGUAGGCUGGUUUUCCAGGCAAAUCCGGAAAAUCAAGGCUGAGGCGUGAUGACGAGGCACUACGGUGCUGAAGCAACAAAUGCCCUGCUUCCAGGAAAAGCCUCUAAGCAUCAGGUAACAUCAAAUCGUACCCCAAACCGACACAGGUGGUCAGGUAGAGAAUACCAAGGCGCUUGAGAGAACUCGGGUGAAGGAACUAGGCAAAAUGGUGCCGUAACUUCGGGAGAAGGCACGCUGAUAUGUAGGUGAAGUCCCUUGCGGAUGGAGCUGAAAUCAGUCGAAGAUACCAGCUGGCUGCAACUGUUUAUUAAAAACACAGCACUGUGCAAACACGAAAGUGGACGUAUACGGUGUGACGCCUGCCCGGUGCCGGAAGGUUAAUUGAUGGGGUUAGCGCAAGCGAAGCUCUUGAUCGAAGCCCCGGUAAACGGCGGCCGUAACUAUAACGGUCCUAAGGUAGCGAAAUUCCUUGUCGGGUAAGUUCCGACCUGCACGAAUGGCGUAAUGAUGGCCAGGCUGUCUCCACCCGAGACUCAGUGAAAUUGAACUCGCUGUGAAGAUGCAGUGUACCCGCGGCAAGACGGAAAGACCCCGUGAACCUUUACUAUAGCUUGACACUGAACAUUGAGCCUUGAUGUGUAGGAUAGGUGGGAGGCUUAGAAGUGUGGACGCCAGUCUGCAUGGAGCCGACCUUGAAAUACCACCCUUUAAUGUUUGAUGUUCUAACGUUGACCCGUAAUCCGGGUUGCGGACAGUGUCUGGUGGGUAGUUUGACUGGGGCGGUCUCCUCCUAAAGAGUAACGGAGGAGCACGAAGGUUGGCUAAUCCUGGUCGGACAUCAGGAGGUUAGUGCAAUGGCAUAAGCCAGCUUGACUGCGAGCGUGACGGCGCGAGCAGGUGCGAAAGCAGGUCAUAGUGAUCCGGUGGUUCUGAAUGGAAGGGCCAUCGCUCAACGGAUAAAAGGUACUCCGGGGAUAACAGGCUGAUACCGCCCAAGAGUUCAUAUCGACGGCGGUGUUUGGCACCUCGAUGUCGGCUCAUCACAUCCUGGGGCUGAAGUAGGUCCCAAGGGUAUGGCUGUUCGCCAUUUAAAGUGGUACGCGAGCUGGGUUUAGAACGUCGUGAGACAGUUCGGUCCCUAUCUGCCGUGGGCGCUGGAGAACUGAGGGGGGCUGCUCCUAGUACGAGAGGACCGGAGUGGACGCAUCACUGGUGUUCGGGUUGUCAUGCCAAUGGCACUGCCCGGUAGCUAAAUGCGGAAGAGAUAAGUGCUGAAAGCAUCUAAGCACGAAACUUGCCCCGAGAUGAGUUCUCCCUGACCCUUUAAGGGUCCUGAAGGAACGUUGAAGACGACGACGUUGAUAGGCCGGGUGUGUAAGCGCAGCGAUGCGUUGAGCUAACCGGUACUAAUGAACCGUGAGGCUUAACCUU